Molecule: long non-coding RNA, 3041 nt
Organism: Cyprinus carpio (common carp)
Lineage: Eukaryota; Metazoa; Chordata; Actinopteri; Cypriniformes; Cyprinidae
Exons: 3
Source: RefSeq, a predicted model, not a curated record
CUGUGGCUCAGUCUCACAGACUCUCCCGUUGAGAAAUAAGGGCUGAGAUGCUCGUGCACAGGGUUCGUGUCAGAUUGACACUGACCGAGUCUCUUGAGAGGUUCACCAUCAGUCUGAUCGCAGCCAGACUCGGAUUGAGCUUUACCAUAAUGACAUGGUUUCAUGCCAGUGGUGUGAGGGAAGUAACGUGACUGAAGUGGACCAGAGGCUGUUGCAUCAGCAGAGUUUCUGAGGGACUGCAGGGCUGUCUGGCACAUGAAGAAAAGCCAGACUCCCAGAAUCCUGAAAUAAACAACUUAUUAUUUUUUCUUCUUACACUUACAGGGACCAGAUACAGAUUGUCAAGAUUGUUUGCCUAGUCAAUGUAAUACCAGAAUUAGCAUGCAAAGUGACAACAGACUGUCAAAAUGUAAACAUUUUUGAUAAUGAGCCAGAGUUCUGAAAGUGAUUUUUCUGAAGUCAAGAUUUUCAGUCUUAAUUAUGUUGAUUAAAUCGAGACUAAUAAUUGAUUUUUAUUUUGUGCUUGGCACAACAGAAAGAUAACAUGAGAAAAAGGAGUUCAUGUUUUGUCAUUUUUAUUUUGUGGUCUGCUAAUAAAAAAGUCUGCCAGAAACUGCCAGUCUGCUUUUGUCAAACACAUCUGCCCUUUUUUCAAUCCCUGAAGUAUUGUGUGGAUGUCUGAAGAAUAUCGAGUUGUCCCUUUCCAUAUCUCCUUUCUUUCUGCCCUCGGUAACCCAGGACCCACCGUAACCUUUUUGAACACUUCAGAACUGAGAUUUGCUCCUGCAAUUUUCUGGAUGGUUAACACCAGAGGAAAUCCUUUAUGGCUCAUCUGACUCUCUGUUUCUCUGUUGAACACAGGUCUUGCGCUCAGGUCUUUUAUCUGGGACUGAUUGAUGGGGUUUCAGCAGAGCUUGAGUGCCCUCCCAGCUUCACUCAGCCUUCCCUCUGCCUCUUCUGUGACCCAUAGGAGUAUUUCAGAAUCUAUUCGUUACUACUGGCCCAUGGUAGAGCAAUCAGAUGUUCCCCAUGGGCCUCCUACAAUGAGUGUUGUGGGCUCAUGUAUUCAGGUUUUGUCUCUGUUAUUUUUGUUCAGCAAGAUGUAGUUUAGUCCGAAAAAGAAAACUCUGUCAUCAUUCACUCAAAAACACAAAAGGAGAUUUUUAGCUGAAUGUCCAAGUAGCGCUUUUCCAUUCAAAAAAGGAAAGUGAUUUAUACUACCAAGUUCAAAAGAGAAAAAAAAUGUAUAUUCAAGUCAUCUAAAGCCAAAUCAUAGAUUUGUGUGAGAAAAAUAAUUUCAGUUCAAAGUCUUUCUCCUUUUGUGAAAGAUCUUUUAAAAUCUAAUUUGUGAACAAGACCAAAAACAUUUGACUUUGUAUAAAGCCUAGAAUAAUGAGUCUUGAAGACCAUGUUUGAAUGCACACAAGCGCAAAUGACAUUUGAAAGUCAUUUAAAGAUUUUCAAAAUGUCUAAUUUUUGUGCCUUAGAAGAAAAAUAUAAUGGAGAUUUCGAAUAAAAUGAGGGUGAGAAAAUGAUUUAAUAUUGGGUUAAACUAUUUCUAUAAAUGUAGCCUACUUCCACACCGUGGCGAUGUGGUCAUGGCAUCCAAAAGCAUUGGCAGUCUAAACAUAACAAGGUCACUAGUAUGAUAGCAUUAUUCUCUUUUGCAGGUGACACACUUUUCUCACACUCUCUUUGGGCUUUGGGUAAAGGUCAACAUACUCUCUAUUAUACUGUCUGGCCACACACUGCCGGUCACAUGACUCUGAAACCAACCUUCCACUAUGAACGUAACUGCAUGUAAUGUAGUAGAGUAUGAUCAGUCAUCCACUGGCAGCACAAGAAAGGUUGCCCUUUGUGGUAACAAAGCCACACCGCAUUAACUUGCUUGUCACAUUGACUGGUUUGCCUCUAAAACCCAAACCUGUUUUAAGUUCAUCUGAGGUUUAGUAUUUGUUGAUGGACUUGCUGAUAUCUGGCAUAUUCCCUGUGGUCUAGAAUAAAGGCGCAGUCUGGCAGAAAAAUGACAAAGUCAUCAUGAGAGCAUCUUCUUCGUCCAGGAGCAGAAUAGAAGCUCAUGCCAAACUGCAAUAUCCUGAGAAACCUACCUGGAUCCUGCACUUGUCAUCACCGUUUGAAUCCAGAGCCUUUCAGCAAACAAUCAGGUCAAGUGAAUAACUGAACACACAAGCCUUACAGCCACCCUGGAAAGUCCCCGAAGGCAAAUACGGGAAGAAUCUGAACAAUGUCGAAUGAGAAAAUGGAAUGCUAUGCAUGUCAAUACAGUCUCUUUGUCUUGAGUUUGAACUCUGUACUUGAGGAGGAACCUGCUGUCCAGAAUUAAUGCCAUCUCUGCCUCAUUUUUCUGUUUAAGAACUGAGAUGGAACUUUCAUCAGAAUGGACCUCUUCCAAAUGGACACAGCAAGGCAACUUAAUUAUGGACUUUUGUGUUUCAAUACUUGCAUUUUUGACAAAUUUAAGGUAACUAGGGUGAGUAUGCAUAUUUCAGUAAUGCUCCCCUGAUUAAUCAUUUACUAAAACAUUCAGUGAAGAUAGUGUGUGGCCAUAGUGCAUGUAGUUUCAUAUCUAUAAAUCUCUUUAAAUCCAGCCCAUACUUUUUCAAAAUAUACCCUUAUCCAAUUUUAUAUUUCUGAGUGACUUUCAUAGUCGGUAGUUAGGGCUGUCAAAGCAUGUUGUUACAUUUACUUUCACAGUGCUGUAAGUACUUUGUGAAAAACUCCCAGUGAAAUGAGGUGUGUAACAUGCCAAUACACUGCAGAAACAAUGUAUUAGACUUGUAAAUGAGUCUGGAUGGGCGCCUGAAAGAAACAGUACUGGCCUGUCUUAGGGGAAAAAGGGCUAUUUUGGAAUAUUAUAUGUAAGUUUAAAAAAUGUACAUGAAUCAGUACACAGUGUUGAGAAGUAACUAGUUACAUGUAACUAAAUUAUGUAAUUGAAUUGCAAAAUAAAUGUAAUUGUAAUCAGUUACAGUUACAGAGAAAAAAUGCAAUUAAAUCACAGUUUUGAAAAUGUUAAUGAU